This 253-nucleotide ribosomal RNA is filed under the name uncultured bacterium. Its description in RNAcentral is "partial 16S ribosomal RNA". It matches the Rfam family "Bacterial small subunit ribosomal RNA", at positions 524 to 776 of the family's 1533-position model. The record is from RNAcentral.
UACGUAGGGUGCAAGCGUUGUCCGGAAUUAUUGGGCGUAAAGCGCGUGUAGGCGGCUUGUUAAGUCGGGUGUGAAAGCCCUCAGCUCAACUGAGGAAGGGCGCCCGAAACUGGCGAGCUUGAGUGUCGGAGAGGAUGGCGGAAUACCCCAAGUAGAGGUGAAAUUCGUAGAUAUGGGGUGGAACACCGGUGGCGAAGGCGGCCAUCUGGACGAUAACUGACGCUGAGACGCGAAAGCGUGGGGAGCAAACAGG